RNAcentral lists this unclassified non-coding RNA (20 nucleotides) under Mus musculus (house mouse). Its description in RNAcentral is "oocyte_clustered_small_RNA3128". The record is from RNAcentral. Lineage: Eukaryota; Metazoa; Chordata; Mammalia; Rodentia; Muridae.
UGUUCAGCCUGGUACAGGGG